RNAcentral lists this non-coding RNA (117 nucleotides) under Gorilla gorilla gorilla (western lowland gorilla). The record is from Rfam by way of RNAcentral. Lineage: Eukaryota; Metazoa; Chordata; Mammalia; Primates; Hominidae.
GCCGGGUGUGGUGGCUCACACCUGUAAUCCCAGCACUUUGGGAGGCCGAGGCGGGUGGAUCACCUGAGGUCGGGAGUUCGAGACCAGCCUGACCAACAUGGAGAAAUCCUGUCUCUA